GAUAGUGUGGCCGAGUGGUCUAUGGCGCUGGUUUUAGGCACCAGUCUUUUCGGAAGCAAGGGUUCGAAUCCCUUCACUGUCA
Molecule: transfer RNA, 82 nt
Filed under: Daphnia pulicaria
Lineage: Eukaryota; Metazoa; Arthropoda; Branchiopoda; Diplostraca; Daphniidae
Description: tRNA-Leu
Rfam family: tRNA
About the family: Transfer RNA (tRNA) molecules are approximately 80 nucleotides in length. Their secondary structure includes four short double-helical elements and three loops (D, anti-codon, and T loops).
Source: RNAcentral